Molecule: ribosomal RNA, 468 nt
Filed under: uncultured bacterium
Lineage: Bacteria
Description: partial 16S ribosomal RNA
Rfam family: Bacterial small subunit ribosomal RNA
Source: RNAcentral
GACGAACGCUGGCGGCGUGCUUAACACAUGCAAGUCGAACGGAAAGGCCCUGCUUUUGUGGGGUGCUCGAGUGGCGAACGGGUGAGUAACACGUGAGUAACCUGCCCUUGACUUUGGGAUAACUUCAGGAAACUGGGGCUAAUACCGGAUAGGAGCUCCUGCUGCAUGGUGGGGGUUGGAAAGUUUCGGCGGUUGGGGAUGGACUCGCGGCUUAUCAGCUUGUUGGUGGGGUAGUGGCUUACCAAGGCUUUGACGGGUAGCCGGCCUGAGAGGGUGACCGGCCACAUUGGGACUGAGAUACGGCCCAGAGUCGUACGGGAGGCAGCAGUGGGGAAUAUUGCACAAUGGGCGGAAGCCUGAUGCAGCAACGCCGCGUGCGGGAUGACGGCCUUCGGGUUGUAAACCGCUUUCGCAUGUGACGAAGCGUGAGUGACGGUAAUGGGUAAAGAAGCACCGGCUAACUACGUG